UACGAAGGGGGCUAGCGUUGCUCGGAAUCACUGGGCGUAAAGCGCACGUAGGCGGCUUACUAAGUCAGGGGUGAAAUCCUGGAGCUCAACUCCAGAACUGCCUUUGAUACUGGUGAGCUUGAGUCCGGAAGAGGUGAGUGGAACUGCGAGUGUAGAGGUGAAAUUCGUAGAUAUUCGGAGGAACACCAGUGGCGAAGGCGGCUCACUGGUCCAUUACUGACGCUGAGGUGCGAAAGCGUGGGGAGCAAACAGG
This 253-nucleotide ribosomal RNA is filed under the name uncultured bacterium. RNAcentral describes it as "partial 16S ribosomal RNA". It matches the Rfam family "Bacterial small subunit ribosomal RNA", at positions 524 to 776 of the family's 1533-position model. The record is from RNAcentral.